Ornithorhynchus anatinus (platypus) is the source of this 138-nucleotide small nucleolar RNA. The record is from RefSeq and is a predicted model, not a curated record. Lineage: Eukaryota; Metazoa; Chordata; Mammalia; Monotremata; Ornithorhynchidae.
CCCCUCUUAGGGCCGCACCUGGAGAAUUUUCAGUACUCUACCAGUCUCGGCUAUGGAAGGGAGAGUCAAGCAGAGGCAUAUUCCUUCCAUUUCUAGCUUGUCUAGUGGCCAGCCAGUGGAAGACAAUCUGCUACAAGU